Molecule: ribosomal RNA, 433 nt
Filed under: uncultured bacterium
Lineage: Bacteria
Description: partial 16S ribosomal RNA
Rfam family: Bacterial small subunit ribosomal RNA
Source: RNAcentral
AAAGAAAGCUGGCGGCAUGCCUAACACAUGCAAGUCGAACGAGACCUUCGGGUCUAGUGGCGCACGGGUGCGUAACGCGUGGGAACCUGCCCUUAGGUUCGGAAUAACUCCCCGAAAGGGGUGCUAAUACCGGAUAAUGUCUUCGGACCAAAGAUUUAUCGCCUUUGGAUGGGCCCGCGUUGGAUUAGCUAGUUGGUAGGGUAAAAGCCUACCAAGGCGACGAUCCAUAGCUGGUCUGAGAGGAUGAUCAGCCACACUGGGACUGAGACACGGCCCAGACUCCUACGGGAGGCAGCAGUGGGGAAUAUUGGACAAUGGGCGAAAGCCUGAUCCAGCAAUGCCGCGUGAGUGAUGAAGGCCUUAGGGUUGUAACGCUCUUUUACCCGGGAUGAUAAUGACAGUACCGGGAGAAUAAGCUCCGGCUAACUCCGUG